Long non-coding RNA from Oncorhynchus tshawytscha (Chinook salmon), 2438 nucleotides. The record is from Ensembl. Lineage: Eukaryota; Metazoa; Chordata; Actinopteri; Salmoniformes; Salmonidae.
CUUUCGCAAGGCACUGUAGCUAGGCCUAGGACACCUAGACAUAGCGUGUGCAACAAUAUCGGUAGGGUAGCUAGCUGGUAUCAUAACAUCCUUGUGUAGUGAUAUGUGUAAUGAGUGUGUAGUCUUAAAACAUUAGGGGCUGGUUUCCCGGACACAGAUUAAGCCUAGUACUUGGGACAACAAAUAUACCAGGACUAACAGAAAACCAUUGUAACUUCAGUCCAGUCCUGCUCCAGCCAGCCCCCAUCGUCCUCAGCGAAAUUUUGUUUUCUGUGUGGGAGCAGCUCCCUAAUAUGGGUCAUCUGAAUAACAAGUCACUUUCCAGAGAAGAGCUGCACUGUGUUGACCUCCCGUCUGCAUUGUGUACAAUCUGUUCUCGUUAAGGCUGAAUAUGACAAGAGAUACAAGAGAGUUCCGGGAAUGUGAAGGAAAGACCAUUAGAGAGGGAGGAAGAAAGAGGAAGGGAGAGUGAGAGGGGAGGAGUCUGAGAGAGAUGGGAUAGAAUGUGAGAGCCAAGAAGAAGACUGCCAGCAUCUUGUGGAGCUCUCUCUCUGUUUACACAGUCUAACAGACAGACUAUCCCCUGAAGAACUGGGGGGAGAAGGGAGGUGGGGAGUGAGAAAGAAAGAAAGAAAGAAAACAAGAGGCUAGAAUGGCUACAGUCUUCUCUGGCUCUGAAUCUGGUACCCGUAAUUGAGUUUAGUUUCUGAAUGUCAGGUAUCCAUCCGCACUCCUUCUUGCACAAUCCCAACAUCUGCUGUCAACUUUAUAGAGGAAACUCAGACUGAAUGGUGAUGAGGCCAAAAACUAACUGUCCUUUUUGCCUGACUACCUUCCUGUUGUGGAGAGCACAAAUGAAGAGUCAAACAGCCAUCAGUGGUUGUUGUUGUCGUUUCCGACAAGAGAACCCAUCUGUCAUCUCCUAGACCGUAGGCUCCGGUUGCUGGCGGGGCCGGAAGCUGAGAAUAGAACUACAGGGAAUGCCAUCCUAGGUGAGGAGGUCUUCCAGACUGGGACAGAGACUGUCCACAGCACCGUUGGCCACGGGGAGGUCUGUGGAAGGCAGAUCACCGUAGUUGACACCCCACCCCGGAUUACACCCUGUGACUCAGCAGAUAAUGCUACCGGGGCCCACCAGAGCGGGCAAACUCUCCCCCCCCAGGGCCCCACACACUUAUGCUGGGGUCCCCAUGUCACAGCCCUUCAGAGGGCCACGGGAAGGCUGCAGAGAAGCAGAUGGGUCAUCUAGGAGGAAGGGCCUGGAGGUGCUCUUCACUGGGGGUGGACAAGCUACCUGAAGGAACAUUUGUGGAUGAGUUCAUCACAGCUGGGGAGCCCCUUCAGUGGCUGGUGGAGAGGUGUGGUAAUAGAUACCAUGGCCUGGAUAGUAACAAACAGCAGAGUGAGGAUGACAAUAUGGUGAAGACACAGGUUCAGGAGCUUCUGGAGAAGGAAGAGGAGCUGGUUAAAGACAACCAUGGCUGGUAUUUUGCAGCUGGAGUAGGAGCAGGCAAGGAGGGCAGUUGAGGAGGGUGAGGGAGAAGGCGCAGAGGGUCCGGAUGAUCUUUGUGUUUUGCCGGGCUGGAAACGAGAGGGAAAAAGUUGUCGGGAACACCAUCUUAGGUCAGAGGGCCUUUUUAGUCGGGGACAGAGAUGGAGCAGAGCCUGAGGAGGCAGGCUGAUGUGGUCGGACGCAAGGUCACCAUAGUAGACACCCCCAACUGGGACUGGGUUUCUGUGAGGCGCACAAUGAAGCAAGGGGCCAACUUCUUCCAGCCCAGCCGCCAUAUAACCACCACAGGUUCUAGGAUAGGGCAGAGUCAGAGACCUGAACUGGGUACCGGUAUGGAAAACACACUUGAGCUCCACAGUUUGGAUCUGCUGGGCAAAAUAGAGGAAAUUCAGACUGAAUGGUGAUGAGGCCUUCUUGCUCGUACACAGAGAUUAUGGGUCAGCCAUCGUAGAACAGCACUCCUGGAGCAUAUGAGGGUUAAGUGCUUUGAUCAAAGGCACAUCGACAAAACAUCCGUGUGUUGUUGAAUCCUACUGCAGCUGGAGAGAGAGACAGUUCUGACAUAUGUAAUUGUUUUAAGAUUGUCACACUAUGGAUUAUUUCGCUAUUUAAUUUAGAAUUUUAAGACCCUUUCAGAUAUAAAAAAAUAUGUACUUUUUUUGGUUGAUAAAAUAUAGAAUUUGGCCUUUACUACUAUAGCCCAGAGAAACGCAUUGAAUAACACGUUAAAAAAUGGCAAAAAAAGACAGUAAAAAAAAGUAGCAUAAGAAGCAAUGUUUUGAAGUGUUUGUCCUAUAAAUAUGAGUCCCAGUCAACUUUGGACACACCUACUCAUUCAAGGGUUUCUUUAAAAAAAAACUGUUUUCUACAUUGUAGAAUAACAGUGAUGACAUCAGAACUAUGAAAUAACACAUAUGUAGUAACC